UAGAUUUUAAAGUUAAAUGUCAAGAUAGUUUCUUUAAGAGCACUUAAUCCUUCAUACUUCAAAUUUGAAAGUAAAUGGCCUACUGUAGCUAGCAAGGAAAUGAUAUCUUCUAUUUUGCAUAAAUAAUGAAGUAAAUUGUAUAGUUGAGUAAGAAAAUUACAUAAAGAAUUUGAUAAAUCUAUUUCUGCAUGUGGGUCUGGAGAGUUGUAGUUCUGGUCCACAAUGAUGGCAGUGGUAGAUAUUACAGGGAUGACAAGGUUCUGAGAAAGCACUCCAAGUAGCAAUGUGAACAUAGUGAAAGAAAUAGGACAGUGUCUUUUCCUCUCCAUUGUCACUGACUGCUUAGAACACUAUGAGAAAGAAGAGAAGGGAGGGUUUGAGUUUGGAGAAGGGAGUGGACUGGGAAGAAUAUAUAAAAUGGUUCACAGAGUGGAGUAAAUAUUAGCAGGU
RNAcentral lists this long non-coding RNA (450 nucleotides) under Glycine max (soybean). RNAcentral's name for it is "long non-coding RNA (GMAX_LNC004318)". Lineage: Eukaryota; Viridiplantae; Streptophyta; Magnoliopsida; Fabales; Fabaceae. The record is from RNAcentral.